Molecule: long non-coding RNA, 636 nt
Organism: Prionailurus viverrinus (fishing cat)
Lineage: Eukaryota; Metazoa; Chordata; Mammalia; Carnivora; Felidae
Exons: 2
Source: RefSeq, a predicted model, not a curated record
AAUCAACUGAAUUUUAUUUGGCUUUGUUUGUUUGUUUUUCCAUUUCAGCAAACAUCAGUACUCCUCCUCUCCAACUGUCAUUGACAAAUUUAAUAUGAAAAUAUUCUGAGAUUGACUUCUGAAGAGCAAGGCCUGAGUCGCUUGGGGAAAAUAAGAGAAACCUUGUUUAUUGGGGGAAUGGGAAAGUCAAUAAAUCCCUGACGAGCUUUGAUCCUAAUAGAGCAACAGACAGAAGACACAGAUAUUUUUCCAAAUGCCCUGGAUGAAAACAGAGAUUAUUAGAAAGGACAUAAGUGAAAAAGACUGCUCCAGAAAUGUUUUAGAUAACAUGUUACAGUCCCUCUCAACUGCAAAGGAAUCUUGGGAGGAAGAGAAAGAAGGAUUUUUGCAUGAAGUCAACCAGCAAGCAACACAAUUAGAGACCAUGUACUUACCAAUAAUAACAGUGUUGUCAUCAGCAAUUAGCAACUUGCUGUGGACAUAGAUGAGCUCAGUGACUAGGUUUCCUUCAAGCUCUGCAUGUGUUCUAAGGCCACAGAAUGAUAUGUAAUUUAUCCACUGAUUGCCAACUAUAAAGUAAAAAAGAAAGUAUUCAAAUGAAUAUGACCUAGCUCAAUAAAAGCACAUUACAUUUUA